MicroRNA precursor from Octodon degus (degu), 127 nucleotides. Lineage: Eukaryota; Metazoa; Chordata; Mammalia; Rodentia; Octodontidae. The record is from Ensembl.
GGUUUUGCUGUGUAGUUCAGGCUGGCCUUGAGCUCACUCUGUAGGCCAGGCUGGUCUCGAACUUGCAACAAUCCUUCUGCCUCAGCCUCCCGAGUGCUGGAAUUACAGGCAUGCACCAGCAUGCCUG